AUUUAUAUCAAUGUAUGUCAAUGGCUACUUUCCCUUUUCCAUAUGAGUAAAAAUUUACAAAACACAAUCUCACGCAUUUAAAAAAAAUACGAAUCAUAAAAUGCAUAGUAUUUAACAUAAUAAGAAUCUAUACUGUAUAGCAAAUGUUAAAAGUGGUCAUUAGUCACUCCUGGAGCACAGAAGAAUGUUAUGCUAAUAUUCUACUGAGUUGACUAUGUUCAAUCAUUUAUUUAUUUAUUUUUUUAUUUUAGGUCAGUAGACAGGAAUUUCAGAAUGAAUUUGUAAUUUCUAUGCUGGGGUUACUCAGAAAACCAUAAAGGAUUUAUUCGGCUAGACAAAACAUUCCUACCUGCUCAAAAUCAAUUUUGAGAAUUCAAUUGACUCAUCACAGUUAUGUCAACAUGUCCGGGCAAGUAGGAUUCCGGAAAAGUCUGUCAAAACCUAGACAGAACAGUUGGUCAGCAGAGACAAAUGUGUCUGUAUCGAUAUUUAAUGGGGUGAUGAACCGCAAAAUGUGUGCACCUUAUCAGACUACUGGAAGGAAGACAUUAAAUGAAAUGCAACGGUAUUAUAAUCUCUGAUACAUUAUGACAGACACAUGACGUCUUGCUGGACUACAUAUUUAUGGACUUCCAUGAAAUUAUGGAUAAGGAAUCCACUUCUCAUUUCUCCUUAAUCCCACAAUAAAACUGACGCACAUGUUGUAGGAAUAGUGAACGUAAGCUGUUUUGUGGAGUUUAUUAUUAUACAAACAUAUUUUAUGAACGACGAGCCAACAGGUGUAUUUGACACUCUAUAGUUAAGCCGAUAUAGAAUAAAGGCUGGAAAUUCAAUUGCUGCUUCAUUGGACAUCAGACUGCAUGGUCAGUGGAUGAUUAGUCACUCAUUAAGGCUAUCGAUCACUUUUUAUGGAGUUACCGUUGCUGCACAUAUUUAGAGCAAAUGUCAUCAGAAAGGUAAUGCUAAAUGGUCAGUGACCCCUGCAAGUGAUGUCACCAAGUGUCGAGAUAUUUUGGAAACAAAUCAUACCUUUACAUCCAUGAUAGAUAGU
Molecule: non-coding RNA, 1051 nt
Organism: Pelobates cultripes (western spadefoot toad)
Lineage: Eukaryota; Metazoa; Chordata; Amphibia; Anura; Pelobatidae
Source: the annotation of a GenBank genome assembly